GGCAAACGGGUGAGUAUAAUGUGGGAAUCUGCCUUUUGGUUUGGAAUAACACGGGGAAACUUGUGCUAAUACCGAAUAAGCCCUUACGGGGAAAGUUUUAACGCCGAAAGAUGAGCCUGCACUUGAUUAGCUAGUUGGUAAGGUAAAGGCUUACCAGGGCAACGAUCAAUAGCUGUUCUUAGAGGAAGACCAGCCACAUUGGGACUGAGACACGGCCAAGACUCCUACGGGAGGCAGCAGUGGGGAAUCUUGCACAAUGGGGGAAACCCUGAUGCAGCGAUGCCGCGUGAGUGAAGAAGGCCUUUGGGUUGUAAAACUCUUUCGUCGGGGAAGAAAAUGACUGUACCCGAAUAAGAAGGUCCGGCUAACUUCGUGCCAGCAGCCGCGGUAAUACGAAGGGACCUAGCGUAGUUCGGAAUUACUGGGCUUAAAGAGCUCGUAGGUGGUUAAAAAAGUUGAUGGUGAAAUCCCAAGGCUCAACCUUGGAACUGCCAUCAAAACUUUUUAGCUAGAGUGUGAUAGAGGUAAGUGGAAUUUCUAGUGUAGAGGUGAAAUUCGUAGAUAUUAGAAAGAACACCAAAUGCGAAGGCAACUUACUGGGUCACUACUGACACUGAGGAGCUAAAGCAUGGGUAGCGAAGAGGAUUAGAUACCCUCGUAGUCCAUGCCGUAAACGAUGUGUGCUAGACGUUGGGAAUAUAUUUUUCAGUGUCGCAGCGAAAGCAUUAAGCACAC
This 735-nucleotide ribosomal RNA is filed under the name uncultured marine bacterium. Its description in RNAcentral is "bacterial SSU rRNA". It matches the Rfam family "Bacterial small subunit ribosomal RNA", at positions 97 to 869 of the family's 1533-position model. The record is from RNAcentral.